ACGAACGCUGGCGGCGUGCUUAACACCUGCAAGUCGAACGGGUCUGCCCUGUUUUUUGCGGGGUGGGUCAGUGGCGAACGGGUGAGUAACACGUGAGUAACCUGCCCCUCACUUCUGGAUAACCGCUUGAAAGGGUGGCUAAUACGGGGUGUUCUGGCUGUGCCGCAUGGUGUGGCUGGGAAAGAUUCACUUUUGUGGUGUUUUGGUGGGGGAUGGGCUCGCGGCCUAUCAGCUUGUUGGUGGGGUGAUGGCCUGCCAAGGCUUUGACGGGUAGCCGGCCUGAGAGGGUGGGCGGUCACACGGGGACUGAGAUACGGCCCAGACUCCUGCGGGAGGCAGCAGUGGGGGGUAUUGCACAAUGGGCGGAAGCCUGAUGCAGCGACGUCGCGUGAGGGAUGGAGGCCUUCGGGUUGUGAACCUCUUUCGCCGGUGAAGAAGGUCCUGCUCUUUGUGGUGGGGUUGACGGUAGCCGGGUUAUGAAGCGCCGGCUAACUACGUG
This 499-nucleotide ribosomal RNA is filed under the name uncultured bacterium. RNAcentral describes it as "partial 16S ribosomal RNA". It matches the Rfam family "Bacterial small subunit ribosomal RNA", at positions 29 to 507 of the family's 1533-position model. The record is from RNAcentral.